AAGUCGUAACAAGGUUUCCGUAGGUGAACCUGCGGAAGGAUCAUUAACACUUUUUUUUUCAGUAAUGAAAAAAAAAAUACACCCAACUGUGCUCAUUUCUUUUUUCCACACCCUUAACCCAUUUUUGUAACCAAUGACUGACAUUUUAAAAGUUUUGUGUGUAGACUAAACAUCUGCAUCUUGACUUUGUAAUUGUUUUCACAACUAAUUACAACCUCAAACACAACUCUUAACAAUGGAUAUCUUGGCUCUC
This 253-nucleotide unclassified non-coding RNA is filed under the name Phylloporus sp. RNAcentral's name for it is "partial contains small subunit ribosomal RNA, internal transcribed spacer 1, and 5.8S ribosomal RNA". The stretch from base 1 to 46 matches the Rfam family "Eukaryotic small subunit ribosomal RNA", at positions 1786 to 1831 of the family's 1831-position model. The record is from RNAcentral. Lineage: Eukaryota; Fungi; Basidiomycota; Agaricomycetes; Boletales; Boletaceae.